GACGAACGCUGGCGGCAGGCUUAACACAUGCAAGUCGAGCGCCCCGCAAGGGGAGCGGCGGACGGGUGAGUAACGCGUGGGAAUCUGCCCUUUGGUGUGGGACAACCACGGGAAACUGUGGCUAAUACCGCAUGAGCCCGAGAGGGGAAAGCCGCAAGGCGCCGAGGGAUGAGCCCGCGUCGGAUUAGCUAGUUGGUAGGGUAACGGCCUACCAAGGCGAUGAUCCGUAGCUGGUCUGAGAGGAUGAUCAGCCACACUGGGACUGAGACACGGCCCAGACUCCUACGGGAGGCAGCAGUGGGGAAUAUUGGACAAUGGGGGAAACCCUGAUCCAGCCAUGCCGCGUGAGUGAUGAAGGCCUUCGGGUUGUAAAGCUCUUUCGGCGGGGACGAUAAUGACGGUACCCGCAGAAGAAGCCCCGGCUAACUUCGUGCCAGCAGCCGCGGUAAAU
This 451-nucleotide ribosomal RNA is filed under the name uncultured bacterium. RNAcentral's name for it is "bacterial SSU rRNA". It matches the Rfam family "Bacterial small subunit ribosomal RNA", at positions 28 to 525 of the family's 1533-position model. The record is from RNAcentral.